Non-coding RNA from Coturnix japonica (Japanese quail), 6360 nucleotides. The record is from RefSeq and is a predicted model, not a curated record. Lineage: Eukaryota; Metazoa; Chordata; Aves; Galliformes; Phasianidae.
AGCCUGGUCUAGUAUUAGAUAUGGAGGUUGGCAGCCCUGCAUGCAGCAGGGGGUUGGAGGUUUGUGAUCGAUGAGUCCCCUUCCAACCCAAGCCAUUCUUUGAAUUACAAGGGAGCAGAACUAUGUUAACAGCCAGAGCUUGGAAGAACUCUGUCCUCUGUGCCCAACGUUUAUUGCUGAUUUGCCUUCUAAGUAUGUAACAGACUUUUUUUCCCUGAUCCUCUUUUCUCACUGGGAGCUUUUAAGGGCUGCAGUCAAAGAAAAGUGAGGUAUGUAUAAAAAUAAGUACAACAGAGUACAACUUGAACUUGUCAUUGGUGUGACAACAAAACAUAAAUGACCAUUUCCUGUGAGUUCCAAAAUGGUGCUUUUUCAUUUUCUGACCUUCACUGAAACUGCAGCAGGGCGGGCUUUCGGUUCUUAAUGAGAUAAUAUUAAAAAAGAGUCAAAAUUGAGAUGAAUUCAGGACUUGAGCUCAUCAGAUCCAUCACGCUUCUAUCUGAUGUGCUUUGUUGGUGCUGCUUUAGCAGGACGUUAGCACAGUAUUUUCCAGUGCUGUUUCAGAAGCUGAACAGUCCUGAAGACAAAACUCUCAAAGCACUGGCAUUGAUUUCAGUGGAGCUGAAAAUUCACUGCUACUUUAAUUUUAUUUAAUGAGAUUUCACUGAGAAUCGCUGAAGAUAUUUAAUUUAGCAUAUAAUACUUCAUAAGGACUUUUUUUUUAGUGUAAUUAGUUCGUGAAAGUUAAUCCCUAAAGUCAGGUUGCCUUGUUAUCUAUUGCUAAAUGAGCAUAAAAUGGUGGUAUGAAAAUGCAGAGCUGUGACCCAUGCCUAAAAAACCCAUCAUGCUUGGUUUUAAUUGGAAGUAAGUGGGGAGCUCAUGCAUUUCCAGCAUCAACACAUUGCAGUGGAUGCAAAAGAACUCGCAUGUUGAGUUUGUAAUUGCUUUUCAGCAGACCUGUUUGACUUGUAAGUAUAGCAAAUAAAGCUGUUUCUAGUCUCUGUGAGUUAUUAUAAAUAAUACACAGCUUUGAGUGUGACUUCUGUCUUACUUUGUAGGAAUGAAUUACCCUGAGUGUUGAGAAGUGUCCAGUGAGCAGCAAAACUGGAGAAGUCAAAGAGCAGCAGGGAUUAGAAGUGAGCUGAAGCAGUGGAGGCUUUCCAAGCCCAGACUAUGGCUGCCCUCUGGAAGCACAGCAAGGAGCUGAGCUGGCUGCUGGUGGUCCUGAGUGGCAAAAAGGAGCAAAAGGUGGCUGCUGUUCAGAGAAGAACUAGCAGGUAAGCAGCAAAAAUCUCUAAAUUUAAGGGUGAAUUAGGUUGAAAUGCACCGUCCGUGCUUGCAUAGGAGCAAACAAGUGCAGCUGGAUGGGACUUGAGCACGGUGCUGCUCCUCUCUUUGUUCCCCUCCGGUCUGGGGCAUCCUGCCUUCCUGACUGAAGAACCAUGUUUUACUAAAGCACGUUAAAAUUAAAUAACACUGAAACCACAGUUUUUUUGUCUCAAGGUUCUGAGCUGCAGCCACCAGGGGGCACAUUCCAGCUUGCAAAGCACUGAUGUUAUGCCUUGCCUGAGACUUUUACAUCUCCUAUUAACUCAUACGGAGCUUUGUUUUUUGCCCUGUGCUAACUGUGGCAUAUCAGGGGAAAAAGAACAUUCAGGUGAGGCUGACAAAGGUGAAUGAAGCAAUUUUUUAUAACAGCUUUUAGUUGUUAUUUUCCAGACAAGUAUUUGAAUAUUAGAUUUCUUAGGUAAAUUAUACUGGAACAAAGAUCUGUGAAAUGCAUAAGGAGGGCCCAGGUGGCAGAGCUGCAUCCCUCAGAGUGCUUUGGAUGUUGUUGUAGUGAUGCACUGGAACAGGUUGCACAAGGAGGGUGUGGAUGCCCUCUCUUUUCAGAAGCUGACUUGUACUAUUACACACAUAUAUAUUAAUGUAUAUAUAUAUAUAUAUAUAUUAAAAAGGGAUUACUGCUCAGUUCACGCCUGCCCCCAAAUCCACACAAAUUAAUCUCUUUGUCAGCAAGGUUUCUUGGCAAGGUUUCCAGUGUGUUGAUUGUGAAAGCUAGAACAAAUUGUCAUUAUUUUUCUUUUUCCUCCUUAUGCCUCUUCUUUUUAACCUAAGUUGUUUUCAUGUCAGAAUUCCUUUCUCACCUAUGCAGGGAAUGAAAUGUUGCCAAAAUAAGGUUUCUAUUAACACAGUGAACUUAGAGGUCAGGAGACUGCAAUGCUUCUCUUCACUGCCAAGGGCACUGCAACCCAUUUGUUUUGUGAAUAUGAUACUCGUCUCUGUUGCUCAAGAUUAAAGCAAAGACAGAGCACUUGGGGGAAAAAAAUGAGUUCCAAAUUGUAUUUAUUAUUCCUCAUACAUAUAAAUUAUUCUGGUGCCCAGAAACUUGGAAGACGAAGCAGUGACAGCUGCUUGCAUGUGUCCUCCGACUGAGAGUGUCCUCAUCCCUGACAUUUUUUGCAGCCCAUAAAAACCCAGAUAAAACGCUCCUUUCUGAGCUGCCUUGGGUGCAGUCACGGGGACAAGAGUUAGAAUGUUGUAAGGUCUGGAAAUCAGGCCUGGUUAUUUAUUUUCUCUCAAGAGUUGGAGGCCUAUGUGAAAUUGAGUACAUUUCUGACCCUUAGACCUAUCAGCAUCAGCAGUGCCACCAUUGGAAACCCCACCAGGGACUUCAGUAGGACCAAAGUCUAAGCAGAAUUCUGCAAAUUUAAGAGUCAGCUGUUGAUGCUAGGACUGAAUGAUGCUUUACUUUCACUAUAGUGGCAUUAUAGCCUUCAGUGGCUUCAGUCUGCUACUGACCCAACUCCAGCUUUGGAUGUUGUAAACUCCUGCUGGUCUCAUUACUAACACUUCUCCUUUCAAAUCAAUACCUUCUUCAGUUGGCAACUCUUUAAAUCCUUCAGUGUUCAUGGACAAGUGUGGGUGAUUCUGACAUGGCUGAACUCUUAUAACAGAAACUCACUCUACCAAGAGGAGCGAAGCUGUCGAAAUAUACUUCCCAUCUACAACCAGGAAUGCAGUUUCUUUGCACACUGAUUUUAGUUUGUAGUUUUAAGAGGUGGUUUUUCCAUUCAUAACUCUUGGGUUGGUUUGAGCUUUUUGCUCUUUUUACCAGUGUUUUCAGUUUUUCCUCUGCACGAAGAAGCUGCUUUUAUUUCUAUAGGCUCUUUAGAAACUGCUACAUUCAUCUGUAGCUGGCAAUUCAAGAGCAUAUUCAGUCAAGCGGUGUGUUCUUCAUUAUUACCUCGCAGAGUGACCUCUUAGGAAGCAAAGAACGCAUUGACAUUUACAGUUAAUAAUCUAUUGAUUUAUGGUACAAAACAAAGGCAAUCAACGGGAGAGCUGUAAUUGUUUCAUUAAGUCUUAUGAACAGCACAAUGUACAUUGAUCCAGCUUUACAAUGUCACGACUCUCCUCGUGGUGGGCACCUUAUUUUUCUAUUUGCUGGCACUUCCAAGUGCUUUUGGUAUCACAGUAUCCCAUAGUUUUGAGUCGCGCUGUGACUGCAUGGCAGGUAAGCAGCUGUCAAAUCUGGUCCACUGAGUGCAGAAGGGCUUUAUGCCCUUAUAGAGGCUCUGAGAACUAUAGAGGGCAGUUUUAAAGAAAAGUAAUAUCAUGAAAAUCAAAGGUGUAAAAUAUGCUUUACAGUCGUAUGCUGUGCCCAUGCUCCAGACACGUUAUAUCCCUAAGGUUACGCAUCAGAAAUAGGGAUAAAAGCAUUGCUGCCCGUUUUGCUGGAUGUAAGGAGUGCUCUCCUUUCUUGCUAAUGAGAGUGGACUGUUCUGUUUUCUCACACCUCAACGCGUGAAAAACCCAAGCUGCUUUGCUUUAGAGGAUGCCCCAACCUUUAUGUGUUGACACAAGAAUGUGUCUACUGAGGAUUUAGGUCUCCUUUAGCUCCAUUAUUUUUCUCCCUGGAGCUGACACUGCAGAAGGAGCUGGGUAUCUGUUGCUGAUGCUCUGGCCUUCGGCCAGCCUGAGGUCUCAUCUGAACAGGUUCCACAGAGAGCAAUCCUUCCUUCGUACUCUGCAUUGAGCAGAAAUGAUGUAGUGGUUUGGGAAGCCAGCAGUCUGUCCUCAGCAGAGGUCCUGCAUUCACUCCUGCUAGGCUCUCAUGGUUGGAUACUUCAUAAAAAGUUUCAUUCUGAUAUAACAAAGAGGUUUUCCUGCUCCUGUUCUGGCCAGCAUCUGGAAUCACUUUCAAACCUCUCUGUACCAUUGUUUAUUAGCGUAUUUCAUUGUACAAUGAGGCUUCCAGCCUCCCGACCCAUACAGCGAUGCUACAGAUGCAACACCUACCUGUCUUUGCAUCUUUUUUUCUGAAUAGGAAACUUUUGUAGGUCAAGGAAUCACCACGUACUGCAGCGCAAGUGUGGGAAGGUAAUGUCUGGAUACUGUUUUCUUGCUGAGUUAAUCCUUGUAUUUGUGAAGGAGUGUAAUAACAGGAGAAGCCGUGAACUACCUGUAGUAUUUAUUUUGCUGUCAAUGUGAACAAAGGAAAGUGGAAAGCUUUGCACUCCGACCAGUUUUGUAACCUGCCCGCCAUUUUAAGUGAGGGUUUCGUGCUUUGGGUAAUGAGGCUUUUCGCAAUAGAUGUGGUCAGGUCAGCUUGAAUCCCUUCAGCGAAAUGGCCAGAGCAGACACAGCUCUUCUCAUAACAUUGGUACAGACCUUCAAGAAGCUUCUAAUGAUUCUGAUGUUUAUAGCUUGGAAUAUUUUGCGCACAUGUUCCAACUUUGCAUUCUCAACAUUUGCUAAACCAACAGUCUGCAGCAGACAUGAUAGCUACCAUCAGGAAACUUGUUUGACAGUUUAAACAGACAGCAUCUGUGUUUCCUACAUUUCAUAGUACACAAAGAGAAUGAGAAUUGCCUGUAGCUCAAUUAAUUCAAGAUGUUGUCAUAGGAUGGGACUGUGUUUUGGAGAUGUUAAAAACAUCUAAUUGGAAAAAGGAAUUUUGCUCUUGUAGUUGGCUGAGUUUCAUCAAUAUCACCUCCUCAGUGGAAUGUUACUGAGAGCAGUUGGCUUGAGUUUGGGGAGUUAAGAUAAAUUGGUGCACAUCAGGGCUGUCCUCAUGCGCUUCCAGCUACCUCUUUGUGGAGAGCAAAGGUGGCAUUUUCACAUUUCAAAGCAAAGAGGGGACUUGAAUUGGGUGCUACUUGAGCAUCUUUUGAAGCAAAAACAAAAUAAUCACCGUGAUUGGCAGAAGGGAAAACAGAACCAGAAUUGCAUCACACAUCAAAGUGUGACCCAGCAAGAACAGCUGAGGGCAGCACAACCUGUUGGCAAUGGGCACCUCUUGUGGCACCGUGUUUGGGCUCAUAGAGCACAUGAGCAGCACUGGGAGAAAUGUGUGGAUGGGGUGGAUGACGUGAGAGCCAGGAUACCGUGCUGUGGUCUAGCAUUGCAAUUUGCUGUUGGGGGCUUAGAAAUGUACAACGUUUUGGCUGUAAUCAAUAGGACCACAUUUUUGGCACCUGCUUCAGGAGUUUCCAGGUUUUCGUUGCUAUAAAGAGCACCGAUAAAAGGAAAGUUCACACUUCAAUGACAAAAUUUCUUAGCUUGUCUGAGGACUGGAUGGGGAGAAGAACUGGGAAUGAGAACUCUGACAAGCAGGAAUUGUGGACCAAAUUGUGAUAGCUGUGUUCAGUAGCACCUAAGUCCAUGAUUUCAUCUGUUGGCUGCAGGGACACUCCUUGCAGAGUAAGCUGUUACUCAGUGUGUUGUGUCUGAGCCUCCACCUCUUGCAAUGUGAGCUCCUUCUGUCUCCUAAAGCGGGUUUAUGCAAGAUUGUGCAUGUGGAUGUGCUGGUACAGUGGCUGCCCUCUGCUGAAGGAGUCCACAACUGUGUCAGUUUGGGGCUUUUCCUGGGUGUCUGCUGAGAAAUAUUUAGCCACAGAACUUUCUGUUCUUCUAGUAGAGGAUGUACAGAUUAAAUAAUGCAUAUUUAUUUGAAAAUGUAUGGGCUGACCUGCCUGUCAUCUCUAGGGAGUGCUCCGUGGGUCAGUCAAAGUGAAUGAAAACCAAAUGUGUCUGUUUUUCAUGUUUACUCUUUCCGUAAACAUAGCACAUAUGCAGCGUGCAGCUGCUAUUCUGAAAGGGCUUUUUUUACCCCCAGUAUUUGGGAGAUCUGCGUUUUAGGAGUGUUUUCUGUUGAUAGCUCCAUAGGAAGAAAAAGUGAUGCUGGACCACUUAGCAGAUCCAUCUAUCAAAGUGUCUGGAAGAAUUUCAAGUAAGGUAAGACAGUAAUGAAGCAGCAGCUAAGACAGCAUUGACUAGGUUUGAGUAAAUAAGAGGUUGAAAACUCUUUUCAAGUCCAGUGCCUUUUCCCUCAGCUCCUAUCAACUCCCAAAGAAA